This is a long non-coding RNA of Fukomys damarensis (Damara mole-rat), 4489 nucleotides long. RefSeq lists it as uncharacterized. NCBI's taxonomy places the organism in Eukaryota, Metazoa, Chordata, Mammalia, Rodentia, Bathyergidae. The record is from RefSeq and is a predicted model, not a curated record. The transcript is spliced from 3 exons.
AGCAGGUCAGGACUCGGUGCUGACUCUGCUCGGCCGGGGCAGAGGGUCCCCGGGACGGACGGUGACGGUGCCGCUGCCCGAGGGAGGAGAGAGGCACGCGGCCGGUGUCUCAGAGCAGAGCAGGGGGCACGGAGACCCAAGACCCCAGACACCCGGUCCGUCUGUCUGCUCAGGACGGCGCUGCCGGCGUCGCGGAAGCUGCCAAGCUACCUGAGAUGUCACUGAAAGAAGACGGGCGCAGGCAAGGCAGACACGUUCGGAAUGGUGGUCACACCGCGGUGCCACCAAGGCCCCACGUCUCACCCUGCGGCAGGACCUGCCCGGACCGGAAGUUGGAUGGCUGGUGACAACCUAACGCCCAUCCUCUCGUGGGGACAGAUCUCCAGGUAAUUUAAAAAAGCAAGACACAGCACAGGACCUACAGAGCACCAUCUUUCAGGAAAGAGCAGAGAAUCACACAAAAUCCACACUUAUUUGCCUGCAUUAAGAAAUUGCUGCUUGCAGACGAUGUGAAAAAAGUUUCCCGGCAUGUGGGACAGGAACGAGAUGUUCAGGGUUUUCCCUUUGAUACGUGGUUGUGAGAUUCUGCGGGGACCAGAUAAAAAUAUUUCCUACCUUCUCCUACAUGAAGAGGUUGUGUGUGUGGGUCACAGGGGCAGGAGACGAGUGGUGGAGGCCAGGCAGGUGUGGGCCGGGAAGCGGAUCCUCCCAUGGGAGCCCAGGAGCUUGGCCCAGCGGCGGGGCAAGCCGGGGCGCGGGCAGUGUGGGCGGCUCUGCUCUCCCGAUGCAGCUCAUUGCCAGCAGGAAGAGCAGGAGGCCAGAGGUGGGCUGAGGCGGCCUCCGAGGGCUCCCUGUGGAUCGGCACAAGGCCCCUCCCUCUCUCCUGCUGUCCUCCCUCUGCACCCCGUGGACUCCGUCAGGAGCUGCCUCCUGGGCCCCCCCAAGAAUGUGGGGUGGAAGGGAAGGGCAUCCGCAUGCAGCUGAGAGUGCCACUGCCAUGUUCCCAGCAGUGUGACCCCCAACCACGUAGAUGACAGAUCGUGCCACACACCCUGCUGCUUUCCUGCUUGGCCUCGGGGACGUUUGUAGGCCUGGGCUACUGUGGCCGCAGGGAGACCUGGACCCCCGCGUGUUCAUGUCCCAGCUAGAGCCCCACAAGUGGACCUUGCCUCGCUGAUGGAUGGAGGUGGCCCUGCAUGGUGGCCGGCACGGGGGUCUGGCCCAGGGUGCCUGUAUUUUCCAAGCCGACUGGAGUCCCACCCCUCCUGUCUGCUGAGCACUGGUGAGAAGUCUGCUCCCUAUUUAAGGCAGCCUGGAAGCAGCUGAUCCCUCUGACACAGCCAGACUUCAGUCUCGGCCUCGCACACCUGCGGGAGUGCUGCCAGCUGCACCCCAGGCCAGACCACGCAGAGGCCCGGCCCCUGGCCUGCUGCCCUGACGCCUCCCCAUGUGCCCGAAGUUCGCCUGACUUCCAGGUAAUGAAUAAACUCCAAGCGGCUUUUGGAUUCCAAGUCCCCUUUCCGCCCCAGAUUGAGUUCACUCAAGACUUACUGUAUUUCAGUUCGUUUCAGUCUUCAUCGAAAGAGAAAGCCUCUUGCGUCUCUCUCCCCAAAACAAAGUCUAAGGUCCCUGUGAGCCUGGGACCUGAGUCGGAGAAUCCCAAGAGGAGCCGAGGGCUGAGUGAGUUGGGUUGGGGCGCUUGAGAUCGCCCUGACUCAGCUUACUCAGACUCCUCCACCAACCACGGGGAUGCCAGCUCUAGCGCGGGACCUGGCCAGUGGGGCAACCAGGGGACAGUCACCCCCAUAGCAACCAAUGAACCCGAAAAGCCAGGUGGCUCCUGGCCGCUGACUGACUCUGCGAGACCCCGGGAAACUCCUCCCGGCAGCUGCUCAUCCGCUCUGGGAAGAGAAAAGUCAGAAAGUCUGCACCUUUCCAGGCUCACUGCGCAGUAAGCUUGUGAAAUGCACCGCCAUUAAAAGAAGACAAAAACCUUUCUUGUUUCAGGAUGGCAACCAGACACGCACAGCUAAGCACUUUUAUGAUACCCAAUAAAACCUGACAUAAUAAAACAAACAUUUACGGGACACCAGAAAUGAUUUCCAAGAGACUUGGCCGGAAGCGGAGCUAGCGGCAGUUCGGUUGGGAGACACCUUCAGCCCAGCCCCGGCCCCACCCUGGCUGCCAGCUGCCUCCUCACGAGGCCCUGUCUUUCCAAAGAGGGAAACUGAGGGGCUCCGGGUGUAGGACCACAGGCCUCCUACGGGUGGCGCUGUCCUCGGCUGAGCGCUUUCCUGCAGAAGAGGCAGGAAGAUGGGCGGGGUUAUCUUCUUGCCCUUGGGUCAGGCCCAGGCCCUAGGUAGGGACAGCAAGACUUAACCGAAGGGGCUCAGAAAGGGCUGGGGGGACGGGGUACCACCGCCCACCGCAGAUCCCGCCCUGGGCUUGUCAGGGUCACCAGGAGCUCGGCCGGCAAGCGCAGCCCACGGCGCAGACCCCGGAGCCAUGGCUUCCACAGCGCCAGGGUCGGAGGCCUCUCCUGGAGAUAAACGGACCUAGAAACUACUGCUCGUGCUCACUGCAAGGUGUUGGCAUUGAACUCGAGGACUUUCGGGCCGUGACCAGCAAUCCUUCCACAGGAAGUCAAUAGGCUAGAAUUGGUCGUGAGUAACGGCAGCACAUUAUUACGUCCGCGCGCUCACUGGGCUGAAAAAGGAGAGAACCGGGCCACAUGCAUCCCACCACCCGUUUCUGCAUUUCCUUCUGGACUUUCCAAAAUGUGUUACAUAUUUUUAAGCUAAUUAUAAUUGUAAUAAUGACCUGCAAGUUCCACACUGCCUUUCUCCUAUUUAAUGUAUAACUAGCUUCAUGUAUUACUGAUUCUUUUUAAAGUUUCUAAUAGAAAGGAACAUGAAACUGAGGCCUAGGAGAAUUCGUUUGUUGAAUAUAUAUUAACAUCGCUACCCAUGUCACCUUCAGACACGGCGAUGAUGGCGAUGUUGCCUAGUUGCUGUCUGGCAGGGCUUUUUAAAAUGACUGAAGCUUUUUAGAUUUGGGGGAAAUGUUACAACUUCACAUAGCUGUUUUCCUGUUUUAAGAAUAGCACUGUGCUCAGGACACAAGGCUGGGAAAGGUAAUUUAAUGCGAAUGUUUGCUGAACACGGACUGCAGGCGAUGCUCAGGAGCCCGGUUCCCCCAGAGCAGCUCGUUUAAUCCUCGCAGCACCGAAGGAGGCCCAGGGGUGAAGUCACUUGAGCGCCCUCUAUACUCACAGAGCCCUGUGAGGCAGCGAUGUCCCCCAGGAGAACCCUCAGGGGUUUGUUCGGUCCGGAGGAUGCUGUCCCCUCGUAGUUAUGGGAAGUCCUUGCCCACCUGGGCCUGGGUCCCCGUGGAACAAUUAGGACACUCACAGGUCACCCGUGGCGUGAGCUGGGGUUCCCGUAAGUGGGAUUCUCUGUGCCUGGUGCACAUUAAGGGGGGAGGGGACAGGGAGGGGGAGAGGAUGCUCCGCCGGGUUUGUGGUAAAGAUGGAAGUGUUUUUUUAAAUUGCACAAAUUUCAGCAAUGAGCCAAUGCUGGAUAAGUAGAUUUCCCAAAUGAACCGAACGACCACUUGCACAGAAGUCAGAAACACAGCGAAGACGACAUACACUGGGCCCUGAAGCCUCCAGGGCUUAUCUGGGGGCCCUGGGCCAUAGAGUUCACACUUUAAUUAAAAUCAGACUCGGUGAAAGACAAAUACUUCAGUUCCUGGUUUCAUUUCCCGCCCAAGACCAAUAAACACAACCACUUGAAAGAAAAGUUCUUUUACUCUGCAACUGUACCUUCAGCACUAAAAGCAAAAAGACAAAUCGUAAUUGUUCAUAUGCGGUGGCAGACUGUAACACACAUUCACAUACACCUCACACUCAGAAAUCAAGCGCUUUUUUCUAAAGCUUCCCUCUCACAUUUUCUAAAGGUUCAAGCUCCCAUUUUACAAUUUAUCCAACAGCCUGCUGAUUGGGUAGCUAGAUAACUAAACUGGCUAAUCACUGAACAUUUGCUAUGGGUUAGAUCCUCUCACAAGUGUUCCUCAAAGACAGCAUACCACACAUUCAUCAAAACCCUAAGGCCAGAGACCACCGCCACUCCUAGGUCACAAAUCAGUCUGAAAGAGGUUAAGUAACUAAUAGUACUUUUGCUGCCUGACACCCAAGUGCACAACCCAAACCACUGUACAUCUGCUUCUCUUUCCAAGUUAGGGCUCAGAAAAAUUUACUUGACUUCCAAUAGUUUACCUUUCUAGGUCAGGCUAGAGCUGAAAUAAAAACAAAACCCAAGGAACACACCCACUUCAUGCAAGUCCAACCCGGUAAAUGACAUAAUGCUAAAUCGGAUUUGUUUUCCUGCUACAGAGAGGUAUUUAACAUAAAAACAAAACUUGCUUGGUGUCAGCUAACCGCUGGCUCAAGUUUUUCCACUCACGACUUGACACACCAAAGUGUGUCCUA